AGCGAACGCUGGCGGCAGGCUUAACACAUGCAAGUCGAGCGGGCAUAGCAAUAUGUCAGCGGCAGACGGGUGAGUAACGCGUGGGAACGUACCUUUUGGUUCGGAACAACUGAGGGAAACUUCAGCUAAUACCGGAUAAGCCCUUACGGGGAAAGAUUUAUCGCCGAAAGAUCGGCCCGCGUCUGAUUAGCUAGUUGGUUGGGUAAUGGCACACCAAGGCGACGAUCAGUAGCUGGUCUGAGAGGAUGACCAGCCACAUUGGGACUGAGACACGGCCCAAACUCCUACGGGAGGCAGCAGUGGGGAAUAUUGGACAAUGGGCGCAAGCCUGAUCCAGCCAUGCCGCGUGAGUGAUGAAGGCCCUAGGGUUGUAAAGCUCUUUUGUGCGGGAAGAUAAUGACGGUACCGCAAGAAUAAGCCCCGGCUAACUUCGUGCCAGCCGCCGCGGUAA
This 451-nucleotide ribosomal RNA is filed under the name uncultured bacterium. RNAcentral's name for it is "partial 16S ribosomal RNA". It matches the Rfam family "Bacterial small subunit ribosomal RNA", at positions 29 to 523 of the family's 1533-position model. The record is from RNAcentral.